RNAcentral lists this ribosomal RNA (869 nucleotides) under uncultured bacterium. RNAcentral describes it as "bacterial SSU rRNA". It matches the Rfam family "Bacterial small subunit ribosomal RNA", at positions 28 to 896 of the family's 1533-position model. The record is from RNAcentral.
GAUGAACGCUAGCGGCAGGCCUAAUACAUGCAAGACGAACGGUAAGUUGAGUAGCAAUACUUGACCUAGAGUGUCGCACGGGUGCGUAACACGUAUGCAACCUACCCAUAACAGGAGGAUAGCUCCCCGAAAGGGGAAUUAACCCUCCAUAGUAUAAUUGGAUGGCAUCAUUUGAUUAUUAAAACUGAGGUGGUUAUGGAUGGGCAUGCGUCUGAUUAGUUAGUUGGCGGUGUAACGGACCACCAAGACGAUGAUCAGUAGGGGAACUGAGAGGUUGAUCCCCCACACUGGCACUGAGAUACGGGCCAGACUCCUACGGGAGGCAGCAGUAGGGAAUAUUGGUCAAUGGAUGGAAGUCUGAACCAGCCAUGCCGCGUGCAGGAAGAAGGCCUUAUGGGUUGUAAACUGCUUUUGCCAGGGGAUUAAAUAGCUGUGCGCAGCGAAUUGCAGGUACCUGGUGAAUAAGCCACGGCUAACUACGUGCCAGCAGCCGCGGUAAUGCGUAGGUGGCAAGCGUUGUCCGGAUUUAUUGGGUUUAAAGGGUGCGUAGGCGGCCCUGUAAGUCAGUGGUGAAAUACUCCAGCUUAACUGGAGGGGUGCCAUUGAUACUGCAGGGCUUGAGUAAAGUUGAAGUUGGCGGAAUUGACGGUGUAGCGGUGAAAUGCUUAGAUAUCGUCAAGAACACCGAUAGUGAAGACAGCUAACUAAGCUUUAACUGACGCUGAGGCACGAAAGUGUGGGGAUCAAACAGGAUUAGAUACCCUGGUAGUCCACACUGUAAACGUUGAUGACUCGCUGUUGGCGAUACACAGCCAGCGGCCAAGCGCAAGCGAUAAGUCAUCCACCUGGGGAGUACGCCGGCAACGGUG